AUGGUGAAACCGCGAAUGGCUCAUUAAAUCAGCUAUGGUUCCUUAGAUCUUACUUCCUUACUUGGAUAACUGUAGUAAUUCUAGAGCUAAUACAUGCUAAAAGCCCUGACUUAACAGAAGGGCGGAUUUAUUAGAACAAAACCAACCGACUUCGGUCGUUGGCUUGAUGACUCUGGAUAACUUUUCUGAUCGCACGGCCUAGUGCCAGCGACGUAUCUUUCAAAUGUCUGCCCUAUCAACUAUCGAUGGUAGGUGAUAUGCCUACCAUGGUUAUGACGGGUAACGGGGAAUCAGGGUUCGAUUCCGGAGAGGGAGCCUUAGAAAUGGCUACCACAUCUAAGGAAGGCAGCAGGCGCGCAAAUUACCCACUCUCAGCUCGAGGAGGUAGUGACGAAAAAUAACGAUGCGGGACUCUCAUGAGGCCUCGCAAUUGGAAUGAGUACAAUUUAAAUCCUUUAACGAGGAUCUAUUGGAGGGCAAGUCUGGUGCCAGCAGCCGCGGUAACUCCAGCUCCAAUAGCGUAUAU
RNAcentral lists this ribosomal RNA (526 nucleotides) under Phonorhynchoides sp. n. 214386047. RNAcentral describes it as "SSU rRNA". It matches the Rfam family "Eukaryotic small subunit ribosomal RNA", at positions 78 to 604 of the family's 1831-position model. RNAcentral also lists the same sequence under 1 other name. Lineage: Eukaryota; Metazoa; Platyhelminthes; Rhabdocoela; Polycystididae. The record is from RNAcentral.